UGAGGAAUAUUGGGCAAUGCCCGCAAGGGUGACCCAGCAACGCCGCGUGGAGGAUGAAUGUCGUAAGAUUGUAAACUCCUGUUAGAGGGGAAGAAUAGUACCGGUUGGACCGGUAUAUGACUGUACCCUCAGAGAAAGCCCCGGCUAACUUCGUGCCAGCAGCCGCGGUAAUACGAAGGAUGCAAGCGUUAUCCGGAAUUAUUGGGUUUAAAGGGUGCGUAGGCGGACUAAUAAGUCAGUGGUGGAAGCCUGCAGCUUAACUGCAGAAUUGCCAUUGAUACUGUUAGUCUUGAGUACAGUUGAGGUAGGCGGAAUGUGUCAUGUAGCGGUGAAAUGCUUAGAUAUGACACAGAACACCGAUUGCGAAGGCAGCUUGCUAAGCUGUAACUGACGCUGAGGCACGAAAGCGUGGGGAGCAAACA
Molecule: ribosomal RNA, 422 nt
Filed under: uncultured bacterium
Lineage: Bacteria
Description: bacterial SSU rRNA
Rfam family: Bacterial small subunit ribosomal RNA
Source: RNAcentral